Molecule: ribosomal RNA, 207 nt
Filed under: uncultured bacterium
Lineage: Bacteria
Description: partial 16S ribosomal RNA
Rfam family: Bacterial small subunit ribosomal RNA
Source: RNAcentral
CUCGUAGGUGGCCAACUAAGUCAGACGUGAAAUCCCUCGGCUUAACCGGGGAACUGCAUCUGAUACUGGAUGGCUUGAGAUUGGGAGAGGGACGCGGAAUUCCAGGUGUAGCGGUGAAAUGCGUAGAUAUCUGGAGGAACACCGGUGGCGAAGGCGGCGUCCUGGACCAACACUGACACUGAGGAGCGAAAGCCAGAGGAGCAAACG